Molecule: small RNA, 183 nt
Filed under: Histoplasma ohiense
Lineage: Eukaryota; Fungi; Ascomycota; Eurotiomycetes; Onygenales; Ajellomycetaceae
Description: hypothetical lncRNA
Source: RNAcentral
AAGCGGAAAAGAUUAGGGAGGAGCCAAGGGCAGAGGUGUAAUUAUACUUAUUUAAUUAUUUGAUGAAUGAUUAAGAACUAUUCUCAAACCUGGAUAUCGACGGACAUGCUUUCGGGGCUCCACAGCGAUAAGGGUCCUAGUUCUGAGUUGAAAUGGCUCGGCUGGCAGCCAUGAUGAAGGAAA